This 253-nucleotide ribosomal RNA is filed under the name uncultured bacterium. RNAcentral describes it as "partial 16S ribosomal RNA". It matches the Rfam family "Bacterial small subunit ribosomal RNA", at positions 524 to 776 of the family's 1533-position model. The record is from RNAcentral.
UACAGAGGUCUCAAGCGUUGUUCGGAUUCACUGGGCGUAAAGGGUGCGUAGGCGGUCGGGUAAGUCUGAUGUGAAAUCUCACAGCUUAACUGUGAAACUGCAUUGGAUACUAUCCGGCUCGAGGAAUGGAGGGGAGACUGGAAUACUUGGUGUAGCAGUGAAAUGCGUAGAUAUCAAGUGGAACACCAGUGGCGAAGGCGAGUCUCUGGACAUUUCCUGACGCUGAGGCACGAAAGCCAGGGGAGCAAACGGG